Long non-coding RNA from Impatiens glandulifera, 376 nucleotides. RefSeq lists it as uncharacterized. The transcript is spliced from 2 exons. NCBI's taxonomy places the organism in Eukaryota, Viridiplantae, Streptophyta, Magnoliopsida, Ericales, Balsaminaceae. The record is from RefSeq and is a predicted model, not a curated record.
UGAAGAUCAAAUGAAACUGCGAUUUGAAUCAUCUACCAUGAUCUCUAACCUCCAGAAACCAUCGGCAUUGUUUGAUCAGUCUCCAUUCAUCCAAUCCGUCACUGAAACGAAGAUCAAAAUCAAUCAUAUUCUCGAAAACAUGCUGCAUUUUGGAGGUCCUGUGAUUGGAUUUGGUGAAUGAUUCAGGAAAAAGUUGAGGAGCUCAAAGAUAUGCAAUGGAAAGCCUCAAUAAAGCAGGUAACUGGAAUUUUUUGUUUGAAUAUAUUGCUCUUAUACUUUGCAAUUCCAGUAUAUCUCAAGAAAAUUAUUACUAUGAUUGACAAAUUAGACGAAACUAUAGCUUAUAUAUACAAAAGCAUAACAACAAGAUGAUUAU